Molecule: long non-coding RNA, 1994 nt
Organism: Homo sapiens (human)
Lineage: Eukaryota; Metazoa; Chordata; Mammalia; Primates; Hominidae
Source: Ensembl
AGGUAUGGCUGAGGUCCAGCACACGUCCUCCAAAUUCACAGUGUUCACUCAACCAGUACUGCUUCCCUUCUUAUCCAAUGCAAUGAUUGAUUCCAUUUAAGUCAAAGAAAAGCAAGAGGGACCAUAACAUACAUUGAUUUGCCUAGAAAUAUCCUACCAUACAGUUUUUUGUUUUACAUUUGUGAGCUUAUAUAAAAGUUAGAAAUGACCUAGGGAAAAUGUAUUAACCCUACUGUACAGAAGAGGAAACUAAAACUCAGAGAGGUUAAGCCUCACACCCAGUAGGUAGUGAAGCCAAAAUUAUACACCUGACUCCCAAACAUCUACUGCCAUUGUAAUACACUGCCUCCUGCAAGGCUAAAGUAGCCAGCCCAGCUAACCAUCAGGAGCCUAUUUGCUCUAACUCACAUUUACAGAAUGCACUUGGUAAAUAGGAGUUCAAUAACUGUUUGUUGAAGAAAGAAAAGAACUAUGGUGGGUCAGAUGAGAGACAAAAAUCACUCUGCAGAGAUACAGCAUGCAGGAGACCACCUCUGAGACUGAGGCAAGAGUGUGCCUGAAAUGCCAGGGGUUCGAUCUAGGUCCUGCUGUUCCCUGACACAGAAAGCCAAUGACUGACACAAUGAGUAUUGCCAAAGAAGAAGGCUUUCAUCGAGUGCUGCAGCCAAGGAAAUGGAAGAUCAGUUUCAAAUCCAUCUCCCUGAACAACUAAAAAUAGAGGUUUCUACAGCAGGGAAGAAAUGUGACUAUGCAUGGGAAAACAGGAAUUAGGGAGGGGUCAUGAGGCAAUCAUGAUGAAUGAGGGGUCUGACAUCCCAUUGGCUGGAUGUGGUUACAUGAUGAGUUUCUGUUCUUUGACACUUUUUGAAAGGCCUGAGGGCCCUUUCCUUACAAAGAAACUCAGAUAAAACCAAUGUGAGUUUCAAGCUUUAAGACCAGAAGAGUCCAUUUCUAUGUUACUAUAGGAAAAGAAAAAAACUGCCUAUGGGACUAUUGGGUUGGUUUCAAGAGGUUAUCUGAAAGGCAAGGCGGCCUCCAUAACUGCUUAUUUUCUUUUCUUUUGAAACUGUCAUUGUCUUCCCAACAUCUAGGCUUAUGAUCAUAUGGGUAAGCUUAGAUCAUACAUUCUGUCUACUCUACCCAGACCAGAAUCAUACAAUCAAAGACAUACAGAGUCAACUAGGUAAUAUAAGUGAGCAGAGUUGGACUGGAGUAAGGUCCAUGGAGGACUGCAACUAAACGGGUACAUCUUGUCUGGAGUUGGACUAAAUCAUUGUGAAGCUUUAAGUCAGAUUUUCUUAGUGUGUUAUUUAUACACCCUCCUGGCAUAUGAGUGACAGGAAAGUCAAAGUCAUUGACUCUCUAAUAUUUAUUGAGCACCUUCAAAUACUUUUUGAGUAUCUACUAUUAUUGGGCACCUACAAACACUUAUUGACCAUGUGCCAAGCACAGUGCCUAGCAAGUUCUUCUUUUCUAAUCAAAUCAACAGGUUGGACAUCCCUACCCAAGGCUCAAAUGGUAACAGGUCCAUGCCUUACUUGUGUCAGUUCUCUUAUUGAAAGAGCAUCUCCUAACCAUCCUACCAAUAAGGUAAAGGUGUUAUUUUGAAUCUGAAUCAAAAUGAACCUUCUCCAUAAAUCUCUUCCUCACUAGCUGGCCCAUACCUUAUUACCUUUUCUGGGUCCUUCCCUUAAUAAUUAGCACUGAGCUCACAAUUAUUGCUUUUUCUCUUAACAUGUUGCUUUGUAAUUGUCUCCAAGAUCCCCUCCUAUUUUUAUAUAUCCAAUUUACUAAAUCAUUCCUAUUUCUUCAGCAGCCCUGAAUGCAGCGCACUGUGAUUCAAUAAAUGUUUGUUAAUGAAGGGAACUACAAGCUGGUUGGGAAUCAAAUCUUUUCCCGUGGGAGUUACCAGGGAUAAAGUCAGUCAGACCCUUCUAUGGCCUGAGAAGUGCUGGGAGUAGCUUCCUUUAGAAGUUCAAUAAAAACAAGUCUCU